RNAcentral lists this transfer RNA (76 nucleotides) under Micrococcus luteus. RNAcentral describes it as "tRNA-Arg". It matches the Rfam family "tRNA". Rfam says of the family: Transfer RNA (tRNA) molecules are approximately 80 nucleotides in length. Their secondary structure includes four short double-helical elements and three loops (D, anti-codon, and T loops). The record is from RNAcentral. Lineage: Bacteria; Bacillati; Actinomycetota; Actinomycetes; Micrococcales; Micrococcaceae. RNAcentral also lists the same sequence under 14 other names.
GCCUCCGUAGCUCAGGGGAUAGAGCGUCUGCCUCCGGAGCAGAAGGCCGCAGGUUCGAAUCCUGCCGGGGGCACCA